RNAcentral lists this long non-coding RNA (2412 nucleotides) under Lingula anatina. Its description in RNAcentral is "uncharacterized LOC106163734, transcript variant X3". The record is from RNAcentral. Lineage: Eukaryota; Metazoa; Brachiopoda; Lingulata; Lingulida; Lingulidae.
GGCUCAUCUUGACAUGAGCUCUCCUAGAAGUGGAGGUAAGAAAGAGGGGUGAAUUGGUUCCAGGUAAAUUGCGCCAUGGCACACCACGUCGGCGCUUUUUAUCUUAACAAAUUUGAAUUUAGAAGCUAUGAAAUGCUCGUUAGAUUUGUCAGGUAAGUUCAACAGUCAUUCAUAUUGUCUUUAUUAUCGUAAACAGUUGGUCUAAUGUCUAUUUUGGAAGAAAACACCAGGCACGAUCGGGAUUCGAACCCGGGACUUUCGCAAACCAUGCGACAGUUCUAACCAACUGAGCUACCGAGCCCAGUCCAACCUUGCUUGUCCUCUACCUGUACCUGUCAAGAAAUGAUCCAGGCUCAUCUUGACAUGAGCUCUCCUAGAAGUGGAGGUAAGAAAGAGGGGUGAAUUGGUUCCAGGUAAAUUGCGCCAUGGCACACCACGUCGGCGCUGUUUAUCUUAACAUUUUUGAUUUCAGAAACUAUGAAAUGCUCGUAAGACAGUCAUUCAUAUUGUCUUUAUUAUCGUAAACAGUUGGUCUAAUGUCUAUUUUGGAGAAGAAAAUACCAGGCUCGACCGGGAUUCGAACCCGGGACUUUCGCAAACCAUGCGACUGCUCUAACCAACUGAGCUACCGAGCCCGGGUCAACCUUGCUUGUCCUCUACCUGUACCUGUCAAGAAAUGAUCCAGGCUCAUCUUGACAUGAGCUCUCCUAGAAGUGGAGGUAAGAAAGAGGGAUGAAUUGGUUCCAGGUAAAUUGCGCCAUGGCACACCACGUCGGCGCUGUUUAUCUUAACAGUUUUGAUUUUAGAAACUAUGAAAUGCUCGUUAGAUUUGGCAGGUAAGUUCAACAGUCAUUCAUAUUGUCUUUAUUAUCGUAAACAGUUGGUCUAAUGUCUAUUUUGGAGAAGAAAACACCAGGCUCGAUCGUGAUUCGAACCCGGGACUUUCGCAAACCAUCCGACUGUUCUAACCAACUGAGCUACCGAGGCUGGGUCCAUCUUGCUUGUCCACUACAGGUACCUGUCAAGAAAUGAUCCAGGCUCAUCUUGACAUGAGCUCUUGUAGAUGUGGAGGUAAGAAAGAGGGGUGAAUUGGUUCCAGGUAAAUUGCGCCAUGGCACACCACGUCGGCGCUGUUUGUCUUAACAGUUUUGAUUUCAGAAACUAUGAAAUGCUUGUUUGAUUUGUCAGAGAUGAAGGUGUAUCUCCUUGAUUAUCAUCAUAUUAGGACAUCUAAACUCAUCAUCACAUCAAGACCACAACUUCUCAGCACAGCAGAGAUGAAGAUAUGUCUGUUGGAUUAUCAUUUCACUGAGGACAGCUUAUUUAUAAACUCAUCAUCACCUACAAUAUCUACAACCUUGUAGCCUUAGUAGAGCGGAGAUGAAGGUGUGUCUUCUGGAUUAUCAUCACACUGAGGACAGCUAAACUAAUCAACACAUCAAGAUCUACAGCAUUGCAGCCUCACCACAGCAGAGAUGAAGGUAUGUCUUUUGGAUUAUCAUCCAACUGAGGACAGCUAAUUUAUAAACUCAUCAUCACCAGCAAGAUCUACAAUGUCACAGCUUCAGCACAGCAGAGAUGAAGGUGUAUUUCCUUGAUUAUCAUCAUACUUAGGACAUCUAAACUGAUCAUCACAUCAAGACCACAACAUCGCAGCCUCAGCACAGAGAUGAAUGUAUGUCUGUUGGAUUAUCAUUUCACUGAGGACAGCUUAUUUAUAAACUCAUCAUCACCUACAAUAUCUACAACCUUGUAGCCUUAGUAGAGAGAUGAAGGUAUGUCUCUUGGAUUAUCAUCCAACUGAGGACAGCUAAUUUAUAAACUCAUCAUCAUCAGCAGGAUCUACAAUGUCACAGCUUCAGCACAGGUGACCCUUUCCAUACAGCAUGGUGGCUUCUUGGUGAACUGACUCUACCUAUCUUGUAAUGGAUAAUACCUAUGGAAAAAGUAGACAGUGAAAAACAGCAGCAAGAGCAGUGCAUUAUCUCAUCCAUGUGUAGAAUACAUGAUAUGUGGCAAGAUUAAAAACGUCAUAUGAUGUGCAAAGCCUGAUUUUAGAUGUCCAUUUUUCAAGGAGGAAUCUGCAUCUGGUAUUGGUAGUAAGGAGAAAUCUUGAAUGGGUAUAUAUUGUUUCCAGAUGACAGUAAUAGGUAAUUUGUCACCUCUUACACAACCAAACUCAAAUCAUAACAUAAAAUGCUCCAUUUGAUACUGAAUAAUAUUAUUGUAAUAUUGAAAAUUUUGUUUUUUGUAAUUCUCAAUCUUCUAAUAUCAAUUGCCAAUAAACAACGCAGUCAACUGAUACACUUAUCUCAGAUUAUUACAGUUGUGAAGCUUAUUUUGUAUAAAUUUCACAAACAUUGGACUAGAUUUGUCAACAUCAUUCAUUUAAAUAUGUAAAGGUAUGGAAUU